This 494-nucleotide ribosomal RNA is filed under the name uncultured bacterium. Its description in RNAcentral is "partial 16S ribosomal RNA". It matches the Rfam family "Bacterial small subunit ribosomal RNA", at positions 28 to 507 of the family's 1533-position model. The record is from RNAcentral.
GACGAACGCUGGCGGCGUGCUUAACACAUGCAAGUCGAACGGUGAAGCGCCUUCCUUUUUGGUGGGUGUGGAUGAGUGGCGAACGGGUGAGUAACACGUGAGUAACCUGCCCCCUUCUUCUGGAUAACCGCAUGAAAGUGUGGCUAAUACGGGAUAUUCUGGGUCUGUCGCAUGAUGGGUCUGGGAAAGAUAUUGUUUCGGUGGGGGAUGGGCUCGCGGCCUAUCAGCUUGUUGGUGGGGUGAUGGCCUACCAAGGCGGUGACGGGUAGCCGGCCUGAGAGGGUGGACGGUCACACUGGGACUGCGACACGGCCCAGACUCCUACGGGAGGCAGCAGUGGGGAAUAUUGCACAAUGGGCGCAAGCCUGAUGCAGCGACGCCGCGUGAGGGAUGGAGGCCUUCGGGUUGUGAACCUCUUUCGCCAGUGAAGCAGGCCUGCCUCGUUUGUGGGUGGGUUGACGGUAGCUGGAGAAGAAGCGCCGGCUAACUACGUG